GAGACGUCAUUCCCACACGAUAAAUUAAUGCUGUUAUGGCGUUGUCUGCGUUAGUAGACUCAGCAAGUCUAUCAAGACGGAGGCGCAUCUUCGUCAUAUUCUCGAAUAGGAAACGCGCGUCGUUAAACUGUAGUGGGAAACGAAGCGGCCCAAGGAAAACGGGAAACGACAAUGAAAUUUCUAUCAAGAAUCAGCAUCGUCGUUAUGAAACGAAUAAGCCAACCAGCGACAACAUCACUGCCAUUGUGGAACGCAGCCUCGAGCACUGGUACGACCAAUCAUUUCGUCUACCGAGAAGAGUAGAUCGACGUAUUCGGGCAAUGAACUUUUGACUAAACAAAGAAAAUUUAAAAAAAAGAACAAGAAAAUAAAAAGGGAAAAAAAUGAAUAAAAGAAUGAAAACAAAGCUUCGCACUGCCAUUCGGAUGAUAUCGGCUACCUAGUCGUUUCUUCUCCAUUCUAUUCGACAGGAGGAACACUGCUCAUGCACUUACGCGCACGCUCGAUCACUCAUCAACGAGGAGACCAUCCACGUGCUUCUAGCGGACGUGGCAUUAAGGAUCGACAUGUGUUACUAUCCUUUUUUCUCUUUAUAUUAUUAUUAUUAUUAUUAUUAUUAUUAUUAUUAUUAUCAUUAUUAUCAUUAUUAUCAUUAUUAUCAUUAUUAUCAUUAUUAUUAUCAUUAUUAUUAUCAUUAUUAUUAUUAUUUUUAUUAUUUUUAUUAUUUUUAUUUUUAUUUUUAUUAUUAUUAUUAUUAUUAUUAUUAUUAUUUAAAUUAUAGAGGAUACCUCGUAAGUACUAUUCGUUGUAUACGUUUUACAAUUAGUCGUAUUAUUAGGCGAGGUCGUAUCUCUCCUAGUAGAUACGGAGGAGGAGAAAUGCCGCGAGUUACGUGCGAUGCUUUUAUUAACCUGCAACCAAGAAGAUGCCGGGUGUGAAGCCUCGUCCUUAACCUUUUCCCUGCUACUUUGUUUUACAACUGUUAUUGUGGUCUCUGUAGGCACCUAAUGCCGUUACUGUUGUGCUUACUUACUAUUCUCUCGCUACUGGAAUGAGUAGUACGCACACCAGGAAAGACAACGACGCGAUCAACAAGCAAUUCGAGAAAUAUAUGUAUUUACGUACAAUAUACACAAUGCAUAGUUCAUACAUGUCAUGAGACAUGCACACAUGUGCGCAGAGAUAGAUACACAGCUGCUUGUAACUUUUUCGAUCAAUUCUCUACCUAUUUUUUUUUUUAAUAGAAUUGAAGAAAAACAGUGAGAUUUUCGAUAAUCAGCAGUUUUUCUUUUUUUUCUCCCACUUUAUUUCUCUUUGGUUUUUUUUUCUUUUUUGAUUUAUACAAUAAUUUAUAUUAUUACUAUUAAAAGGAAAUAAUCGCUUGAGUGUUCAUUGACCCGUUCGCUCGUACUCUCCCCAUUGCGGAAUAUACUUAAGAGACAUGUGAGAUUUACACAUCAGCACAAACGUGCGGCUCACACGCACACCGACGCUCAUCCCUGAGAAAGAGAGAAGGAGAGAAAAAGAGUGCACGCAAGUACACGCAUGUAGCCGUACACGUACACACAUAUAUAUAUAUAAUAUAUAUAUAUAUAUAUCUAUAUAUAUAUG
Molecule: long non-coding RNA, 1611 nt
Organism: Vespa velutina
Lineage: Eukaryota; Metazoa; Arthropoda; Insecta; Hymenoptera; Vespidae
Exons: 2
Source: RefSeq, a predicted model, not a curated record